Long non-coding RNA from Cotesia glomerata, 816 nucleotides. RefSeq lists it as uncharacterized. The transcript is spliced from 2 exons. NCBI's taxonomy places the organism in Eukaryota, Metazoa, Arthropoda, Insecta, Hymenoptera, Braconidae. The record is from RefSeq and is a predicted model, not a curated record.
AUAAAAAAGUUUUUACUUUAUCAUGAAGUUUAUGACAUUAAUAUUUGUUUUUAUAUAGGAGUUAGCAUAAAUUGUUAAUUUACUCACUAAAUAUUUGUAGUUACAAUGAAAAAGUUAUCAAUUAAAAAAAAUCAUUUUUUUUUUUUUUUAGUUUCUACAUCGCAGACACUUUUUCACCGAUACUUAAUCUUUUCUUGUAGACCAGAGUGAUAUUACCGAAUUGGUUUUCCUCAACAGUACGAAUUAGGUCUAACUCAGAUGUAUUCUCAUGAACAGAAGCUUUCUACAGUAACUCUUACUCUUGUUGGAGAUAAAAGUAUCUUGGUGAUUAAUGAUUGAUGGUCUUAUCGUCCUGACGUCAGUACUUGCGGGUUUAAAUAAUGUAAUAACGACGCUGCGGCGUCGAGCAAUGUCUUCUUCGUCAGUGAGCAGCUGCACGAAUGAGGAGGACGCCGAGGAUGUCGAGACAAAGCACAUUGGCUGGCGAUACAGCACGAGUAUCAUCAUUACUGUCAUCUCCGCCACCAAUAUCAUCAACGCCAUCCUCAGUACCGUCUGUAUACACUUGGAAGGACUGCGGCUAGAUGAGUUCGAAUAAUUCGAUACUCCUUGAAUGCGUUAGUGCAGCUAUCGCAUUUAUUUCACCUAAAAUUCAAGAGAAGAAAAAGAGGAAAGAGUAAAUAAGUAAAUAAACACAAACAAACAAGCUGGUUGAAUAAAUACUACAAACACUGCAACACACAGCCUGCAAAGUUGUGAUAACGAUGAGGUGACAAAAAAAAUUGGCCAUCGUUGCCGUUGUCAUCAUCGUAUAUG